This 314-nucleotide RNase P RNA is filed under the name Flavobacterium macacae. RNAcentral's name for it is "Bacterial RNase P class A". It matches the Rfam family "Bacterial RNase P class A". Rfam says of the family: Ribonuclease P (RNase P) is a ubiquitous endoribonuclease, found in archaea, bacteria and eukarya as well as chloroplasts and mitochondria. Lineage: Bacteria; Pseudomonadati; Bacteroidota; Flavobacteriia; Flavobacteriales; Flavobacteriaceae. The record is from Rfam by way of RNAcentral.
ACCGCAGACCGCCUUAUCGCCGUUUAAUUUUAAAGGGAGGAAAGUCCGGGCACCAAAGAGUAGCAUAGCGGGUAAUGCCCGUCACCAAAAGCAAUUUUGGGAGGACAAGUGCAACAGAAAGUAUGUACAGAUAAUGCUGUAGUGAAACCAGGUAAACUCUAUGCGGUGAAAUACCAAGUAUAUCGGCAUUUAAGGAUUACUCGUCCGUUGUCGAAGGGUAGGUAGAUUGAGUUCUGGAGUAAUUCAGAAUCUAGAUAAAUGAUAAGGGUUUGCUUUUGCAAAUACAGAACCCGGCUUAUAGGUCUGCAUUUUUU